AAAAAUUGCUAGGGGAGCCACUAGGCUGAGAGGACUACCGACCCUUAUACCUGAUCUGGAUAAUGCCAGCGUAGGGAAGCUUUAUAAGACUUAA
This 94-nucleotide non-coding RNA is filed under the name Romboutsia lituseburensis. Its description in RNAcentral is "TPP". It matches the Rfam family "TPP riboswitch aptamer (THI element)". Rfam says of the family: Vitamin B(1) in its active form thiamin pyrophosphate (TPP) is an essential coenzyme that is synthesised by coupling of pyrimidine and thiazole moieties in bacteria. The previously detected thiamin-regulatory element, thi box was extended, resulting in a new, highly conserved RNA secondary structure, the THI element, which is widely distributed in eubacteria and also occurs in some archaea. Lineage: Bacteria; Bacillati; Bacillota; Clostridia; Peptostreptococcales; Peptostreptococcaceae. RNAcentral also lists the same sequence under 1 other name. The record is from RNAcentral.